Molecule: ribosomal RNA, 603 nt
Filed under: uncultured Spirochaeta sp.
Lineage: Bacteria; Pseudomonadati; Spirochaetota; Spirochaetia; Spirochaetales; Spirochaetaceae
Description: bacterial SSU rRNA
Rfam family: Bacterial small subunit ribosomal RNA
Source: RNAcentral
CAUGCAGUCGAGCGGCAAGGGCCUUCGGGCCCCUAGAGCGGCGGACGGGUGAGUAACACGUGGACAAUCUGCCCCCCGGUCCGGGAUAGCCCAGGGAAACCUGGAUUAAUACCGGAUGAGACGGGACCCGCGGAGGCGGGAUCCGGGAAAGGCGCUGCGGCGCCGCCGGGGGAUGAGUCUGCGUCCCAUUAGCUAGACGGCGGGGUAACGGCCCACCGUGGCGACGAUGGGUAGCCGGCCUGAGAGGGUGGACGGCCACAUUGGAACUGAGACACGGUCCAGACUCCUACGGGAGGCAGCAGCUAAGAAUCUUCCGCAAUGGGCGAAAGCCUGACGGAGCGACGCCGCGUGAACGAAGAAGGCCGUGAGGUUGUAAAGUUCUUUUCGGGAGGGGGAACAACCGUGGCAGGGAAUGGCCGCGGGAUGACGUGAAUCCCGGAAUAAGCCCCGGCUAACUACGUGCCAGCAGCCGCGGUAACACGUAGGGGGCGAGCGUUGUUCGGAAUCAUUGGGCGUAAAGGGCGUGCAGGCGGUCCUGCAAGUCCGGCGUGAAAGACCCCGGCCCAACCGGGGGGACGCGCUGGAAACUGCAGGGCUUGAGUA